Drosophila pseudoobscura is the source of this 2987-nucleotide long non-coding RNA. RefSeq lists it as uncharacterized. The transcript is spliced from 7 exons. The record is from RefSeq and is a predicted model, not a curated record. NCBI's taxonomy places the organism in Eukaryota, Metazoa, Arthropoda, Insecta, Diptera, Drosophilidae.
AACAUAAAAUUAGUCGACUAUUAUGAAAUGUGUAUUUUUAUAUGUAAUUACCAUUUUUUACAGUGGUUGAACUGAGCUCAGCACUUGCAAAAUCGUCAAUAUUUUCUUCGGGAAUAGCUCCUUUGGAAGACCUAGUGCUGGAAAAAAUUAAUGGACUAGUCUACAUAUAGACGGAUACACAUAGCUAGUGUAGGACACAUGAACAUCAGAACCGCUAGAUCAGAUCGAGGGAGCAUGCAACAUUGCAGUAUGGAUAAAUCGGCGGCAUGGGAAACUUAUGUUCACAUUGACGCAGAUUCUCAACGGACAUGGUCCCCGACGAGGCUAUGCUAUGGCUAUGCGCCAGCUUUGGAAUAGCGGAGAACGCCGAGCACGACCACCUGCGUCAGAUUCGUAGAAGCCCGCGGGGACGAGCAAAAAGCAUCGUAGGUGUGCCCCUCACAGAGGUUUGCAGCCACGCAUGCUGGAAAGCCAAGCAAAUUGGACGGCGAUUCGCAGCCUUGCGACGGUCUGUAUAUACAUAUAUUCAAAAUACUUUCAUUCUACAUUUGAACUAUCAAGGGUCGAACCAAUAUUAUCUGAUGAGUAGGAUAUACAGAAUAGGAUGUAAUAUGCUCCCUAAACGCUGUUGCCACCCAUUUUAAUUCGACAUAUAGAAAAUUCAAGUUAUAGACGUUCGAGUUAUAGAGUUUCAACUUUAUGUUGAUCUACCUAACUUUUCUAUGAAGUCUUAUCUUCUGUGAUUUCUUAUCUGACAAUAUGUUUAAUCAUAUUGGAAGACGAUAAGCUUAAUUUUAGCCAGAGGGCGAGUUCUGGCAGCUAUAGCAAGUUCCCCUUUGGCAAUCUAUAAAUAAGGCCGCAAAUCUUUCGAAAAAUAAUCCAAAACGAUUUGUUUUAAGGUGCUCCUGUUUAAACAAAUUUAUGUUAUCGAUGUGUUUCAUGUUAUCAUCGUUUCUGGCAAACAAAUACAGCAUGCAAAAUAGCAAAACGAUGGCAGAAAAACGCGAUUUAAGUAGUUUAACUGUGGUUAAAAGCAUACAUAUUGAAAAUUAAAUUGCAAUGGUCAAAAUUAUAUCGAAUAUAUUGACGUUGACAUGUGUGUAUAUAUAGUGUAUGUCUCUCUCUCUUUAUUGAGAUAUGUUAAAGAAUUGCCCGAACAUAAAACAAUUUAUGCGUCUGUAAUGAUAAACCUUUUAAAAAUACUAAGGAUUAAUUCGAAAAUAAAUAAAUAGCACUGGAUAUGCAACAUGCUGUAGAUGGAAGUACUUAAAGCGAAAAUUCUCCAAUGGGAUAGGAUCAUCGAACGGUGCCGAUACAGAACAUCACUACCUGCAGAGCAGCGAAAACCAUGUGCAAGGAGCGCAGUGGGAGAUUCAGCCGCUACUUACUGUACCUACCACGAAAUGAUUGAACACUGUUAGUGGGAAUACUUACAGGUUUGUUUGCGCCGCACGCAGUUAACAGCAGCAGUUGCAGAAAAUGCAUCUGCAACUCUCACCUGCAAGGAAAAGAAAGUUCUUUCAAUUUUAACGGGCCACCAAUUUUAUGGAUGCGUCGGACUAUGACCAGCCUGCGAAUGUAUGCUGCAUAGCCGUUUACGUAAGGAUGUUUUUUCCACAUAAUUUGCGUGUUUUACACUAUUGUAAAAUUGAAAUAGCUACGAAACAACAUCCACGUGCUUACUGAAUCCCUCACACACUCUUCCUCGUACAGUGUACGCCUUCUGCCAGAGGGAAGCGGGAAAGCAACACACAUAUUGAUACACACACAUACAGAAUAUCGGCUAUAAAUGUAGAGACGUACCCCUAACCGGCACUCACAACGUUCCCGAUUUUUGUGACUAUAUUAGAGAAUACUGCAAUUAGUAAGGAUAAGUAAAGUUCUUCUAAACGCCCUAUAAUUUUUGUUCUAUCCAACUGUGUUGUUUUUGAUUGAUAAAGUUUAAAACAUCAAAAACAAAAUCAAAAUAAUUGCUUUGUGGUUUUAUUUUUUAUUUUCCGAUCCAUUUCGAUUGGACAAGAGGUAGUUGGUAACGAUUUAAGAUAUAUUCCCUCAAAUGAAAUCUGAUUCUGGAUAUGCUCCAAUAAUUUUCGUACUAGCACCUUGCAAAAGUGAUCAGGCCAGAUCCAUUGAACACAAAUUUAAUAAAAAUUAUUGUGCAGCUUGAAACAUUGUGGAACGAACUAUUAGAGGUCUUAAAAGUAGGUUUGGAUAUUGUCAUGCAGCAUUAUUAAUGUUUGCUACGCCUUGCACAUUAUUUGACGCAGACUUAAAUCGCCAGUCGCAAAUGAUUUAGUUUGCGCCGAACCUUAAACGUGAUUGGAGAAAGCAUAGCUCGUACUCCUUAUGAAUAUACACAAACAAACCGGAAAAAUACAGAAAAAUACCUUUUUUUUUCGUUGGUGACUUUUUGUCUAUUUUUGGUUUAUUUAUAAUCAGCUAAGUCGUACUAAUUUUCAAAAUAAUUAAUUGAAUUUAAAUGAAUUAUGUUUUGUAUCUGCUUCAGCAUACUCGAUUGGAUCCAUCCAUCACCAAGCAGGAUCGUACACAUCGGAGUCAAUUUCAAAACUUCGAGAAUUUCUGCGUCUUGCUUUGGUGUUGUCCUAAGACCUCUCCUCCUCGAUUGGUUGUAUAGCCACUUGGGAGAAUGCUCCGCCUUUUGCACUCUUUACCUCCUGCUUGUUUCGGGCCAGCUUCUUGCGUUUUACAACUUUCUAGUCCGACCAUAUCUUUCAAGAUAAGACGAUUUAAAAAAAUCCACGAUUACAACUUGAAACACUUGCCUUCAUCCACCCGGAUGGAUCCUUAGUUGGGGUCCUGAUGCUCCAUUUCUGCCAGUAUCUCAUCUUGACUAGUUGUCUUAUGUUUUAUAACAGUUUGAUUCAAUAGCGUUUAGUAAACAGCUGACAGGACUGCAGCUCAAAGUAUUUUAUUUUCUUAGCAACUAUCGGCAAUUAAACUUUUAAGUUAUACGAAAACAAAAUUUC